This 254-nucleotide ribosomal RNA is filed under the name uncultured bacterium. RNAcentral describes it as "partial 16S ribosomal RNA". It matches the Rfam family "Bacterial small subunit ribosomal RNA", at positions 524 to 776 of the family's 1533-position model. The record is from RNAcentral.
UACGGGGGGAGCAAGCGUUGUUCGGAUUUACUGGGCGUAAAGGGCGCGUAGGCGGCCACCGCAAGUCGGUUGUGAAAUCUCUGGGCUUAACCCAGAAAGGUCAACCGAUACUGCGGGGCUAGAGUGCAGAAGGGGCAACUGGAAUUCUCGGUGUAGCGGUGAAAUUCGUAGAUAUCGGGGGGAACACCAGUGGCGAAGGCGGCGACCUGGGCCAAUACUGACGCUGAGGUGCGAAAGCGUGGGGAGCAAACAGG